GUAUCAUCCGUUCAUUUCUUCCAUCUUCCAUCUUCACUUCCGUCCAUUCUUCAACUCGGUUUGUGCAUUUAUUUUUACUGCAAAUGAGCUCGGUUCCUGUCGUGCUUGGUUUUGUUGCUGUGCAUUUUUUCAACUGCAAACGAGGUUUUGAUCCGCUGUUACCCUUUGUUCUGUGAGAUUCUCGCCAACUAAUAGGUGUUGAUGCUCUUUUUGUUCGACAAAUGGUUCUUUUUGAUGGCAAAUGGGUGGAUGAUUCUAAUGUGAUUGUGGGGAUACUCAAGGAAAAGUACCCAAAACCCUCUCUCAUCACUCUUCCUGAAUUUGCCUCCGUAUUCUUCGAUUGCAAGAGUGUCUAAGCAAAUAUGAGGGAACUGAUGAUCGGAGCACACCACAGGGAUCCGAAGUUAGGUUUUUUUUAUCAUGCAUAUAAAAAAGGUGUCUCAGAGAAUUCAAUAGAAAGUUGGAUUUGGUUUACCCCCUUAUUGUUCCUUCUCCCCAGUACUCAAGUCUCCAUAUACAGGCGCUUCAAUAAGCCCUUUUUUGUUGUGGUUUUUGUUACUUUUGAUCUGUGAUUUGCAAUUUUUCUUGGGUUAUAAACUUAUAAUUGUGUGUUGUUUUGAUGGUGUUAACUUGCAGGUGGAAUUGCAUGGCUAGAUGGCUUGGCUGCUUUGGUCUGGCCUUAAAACUAUUGCUUAAUUCAAAGGGUCUAGGAAUUCGUCCUGGAGUUAUGGAUGGGGCCAUCAAUAUAUCUGCUGUUCAGGAGUGAUAACAGCUAGAAGUGAUACAGAUUGAUAAAUUGAGGUAUCAAGAUGUCUUAUUCCGCAAAGGCAGAUACUGCAGACUCAGAUUGCUGGGAAUUGAGAAGUGUUAAAUUGUAAUUGAAUCUCUGACCUAAUGUAAAGGAUAUGAUGCAUGUUGCAAACAAAUGCCUCGUGUUUAGUGUUGUUGUUGCAUGUUCCUCUUGAAAAAUAAGACUGCCAAAAGAUGAUAUUGAAUCCAGGAAAAGUAAAAUGGGCAUACAAAAAUUAA
Long non-coding RNA from Glycine soja, 1029 nucleotides. RefSeq lists it as uncharacterized. The record is from RefSeq and is a predicted model, not a curated record. The transcript is spliced from 8 exons. NCBI's taxonomy places the organism in Eukaryota, Viridiplantae, Streptophyta, Magnoliopsida, Fabales, Fabaceae.